CCCUCCGGGGUGCAGCAGGGUUAAGCUGGUGCAGCAUUCAUAUUAACGGCUCCUCGCCAUUUGGUAUGGGUGAACUUGAAUCGCAAAAACUCUAUGUCUCGGUGCCUAUGUGGUGAAACGCUAUGCUUUGACCCAACCGCAGAGGAACAGAGGCCAUAUUCUCUGCCUGAAAUCACCCACAUAAUUCAGCGAAGAGCCAAAAAUUGAACUAUUAGAUAGCGAUAGAUAAAAGAAAAAGCAGGAAAAAGAUGAGGUGCAUCCGUCGAAAAGUAAUAUUAUAUUUAUUUUCACAUAAUAAGCUUCUCUAUCCUCUCCAGAGCCUGACGGAUCCGAUUCUGGCUGGUGGCGUAGGAGAGCCGGACAUAAUCCCUUCCCCCUGGUCCAAAGGCAGAUCAGGAAUUGGCGGGAGAGC
Molecule: ribosomal RNA, 412 nt
Filed under: uncultured prokaryote
Description: partial 16S ribosomal RNA
Source: RNAcentral